AUGGUAACAGACGGGAUUCACCGUAGUCACCGGCCAGCCAGGUGCGUGUGUGGCUGGCGGGCGACCCAGCGGGCUACCGCCAGCCCUGCGUGUGCCGCCUUGGUGGCUUGCGUACGGCCGGCGCGGCCACCGCCUCCAGCUCUCCGAAAAUUGAAAGAUGCCGGAGGUGGCUUCCUAAUGGCCGAACUUCUCGGGAAGGAUGUUCUUUGCCCAGUGGAAUGUCAGGCAGAUGGGACCGUACGUGGCACGCUUAGCAGUCACAUUGCAGGCCAAGCCAGAUGGGCAAGCAAUACAAGCUGUGAAUUUAUUCUUGACCCUGUAGGACAGUGACCACCGUCAUUUUUGUCUUCACCGUACAGUUAUGCACUGCCAAUAAGUGGCCACAGCAACCCUUGUUCCUGGCUGGGGAAUGCAUUACAAGUCUCAUGGCUAAUUACAGCAUCACAGUGUUCCUAGAGGGUACCUAAGUUCAGCAGUGCUUAGCUACAGCACCAGGCAAGGGGAUUUAUGGGGUGAAAUGACAUCAGCCUGCUCAUGACAGUCAUGGUAAGGUCAAAGUGAGUCCCUCUUGCAGAUCAGGAGUCAGAGGGUCCUGUUUAGUCCCAGUGUCUCUGAAAUUCAACCAUGCUAUUUAAUUUGAAUAAUUUUUUUUUACUGGUUUCAGUGGAAAAAAGGUUUGUGGAUCAUCUACAGUCACUUGACUAGAUGGUGGCAUUAUUCCACUGAUUCUGAUAGCUGAAGAUUUCCAUUGUAGCUGAGCCAGUGCUAUAAGCUGGGAAUUGGGCUGUUUUUUCCUUCACUGGAAUAAAAAUACAGUAUUUUGUGUAUUAGCUCA
This 835-nucleotide long non-coding RNA is filed under the name Cyanistes caeruleus (blue tit). Its description in RNAcentral is "lncRNA (ENSCCEG00000001452.1)". Lineage: Eukaryota; Metazoa; Chordata; Aves; Passeriformes; Paridae. The record is from RNAcentral.